CCUACGGGAGACAGCAGUGGGGAAUAUUGGGCAAUGGACGAAAGUCUGACGCAGCGACGCCGCGUGAGGGAUGAAGGUUUUCGGAGCGUAAACCUCUGUCAGGAGGGAAGAAAGCGCAUGCCGCCAAUCAGCCAUGCGUUGACGGUACCUCCAAAGGAAGCGCAGGCUAACUCCGUGCCAGCAGCCGCGGUAAUGCGGAGGGCGCGAGCGUUAAUCGGAAUGACUGGGCGUAAAGGGCGCGUAGGCUGUUGUGUAAGUCUGUGGUGAAAUCCCGCGGCUCAACCGUGGAACCGCCCUUGAUACUGCGAGUCUUGAGUCCGGGAGAGGGUGGCGGAAUUCCAGGUGUAGGGGUGAAAUCCGUAGAUAUCUGGAGGAACAUCAGUGGCGAAGGCGGCCCCCUGGACCGGUAUUGACGCUGAGGCGCGAAAGCGUGGGGAGCAAACAGGAUUAGAUACCCCUGUAGUC
Molecule: ribosomal RNA, 465 nt
Filed under: uncultured bacterium
Lineage: Bacteria
Description: partial 16S ribosomal RNA
Rfam family: Bacterial small subunit ribosomal RNA
Source: RNAcentral